RNAcentral lists this small nucleolar RNA (100 nucleotides) under Macrophomina phaseolina MS6. RNAcentral describes it as "A. fumigatus snoRNA Afu_190". It matches the Rfam family "A. fumigatus snoRNA Afu_190". The record is from Rfam by way of RNAcentral. Lineage: Eukaryota; Fungi; Ascomycota; Dothideomycetes; Botryosphaeriales; Botryosphaeriaceae.
ACCUGAUGAGACCUACGCUGGCACCAGUCCGAGAAAGACUUGUACUCUUUUUGCUGCGGAUUAGCAUGCCGCAAGGAACAUAUACAAAUCCUUGCCUGAA